Molecule: unclassified non-coding RNA, 430 nt
Filed under: soil metagenome
Description: partial contains 5.8S ribosomal RNA, internal transcribed spacer 2, and large subunit ribosomal RNA
Rfam family: 5.8S ribosomal RNA (bases 1-120)
Source: RNAcentral
GAUGAAGAACGUAGCGAAAUGCGAUACGUAAUGUGAAUUGCAGAAUUCAGUGAAUCAUCGAAUCUUUGAACGCAUAUUGCGCUCUCUGGUAUUCCGGAGAGCAUGCUUGUUUGAGUAUCAGUAAACACCUCAACUCCCUUUUCUUUUUUGAAAUCGGAGCUGGACUUGAGUGAUCCCAACGCUUUCUUCCAAGAAAGUGGCGGGUUGCUUGAAAUGCAGGUGCAGCUGAACUUUUCUCUGAGCUAUAAGCAUAUCUAUUUAGUCUGCCUAAAAAACAGAUUAUUACCUUUGCUGCAGCUAACAUAAAGGAGACUAGUUCUUGUGCUGACUGAUGCAGGAUUCACAGAGACAGCUUCGGCUGACUUUGUAAACUCGAUCUCAAAUCAAGUAAGACUACCCGCUGAACUUAAGCAUAUCAAUAAGCGGAGGA